GAUGAACGCUGGCGGCGUGCCUAAUACAUGCCAGUCGAGCGAACAGACGAGGAGCUUGCUCCUCUGACGUUAGCGGCGGACGGGUGAGUAACACGUGGAUAACCUACCUAUAAGACUGGGAUAACUUCGGGAAACCGGAGCUAAUACCGGAUAAUAUCUUGAACCGCAUGGUUCAAUAGUGAAAGACGGUUUUGCUGUCACUUAUAGAUGGAUCCGCGCCUCAUUAGCUAGUUGGUAAGGUAACGGCUUACCAAGGCAACGAUGCGUAGCCGACCUGAGAGGGUGAUCGGCCACACUGGAACUGAGACACGGCCCAGACCCCUACGGGAGGCAGCAGGAGGGAAUCUUGCGCAAUGGGCGAAAGCUUGACGGAGCAACGCCGCGUGAGUGAUGAAGGUCUUCGGAUCGUAAAACUCUGUUAUUAGGAAAGAACAAAUGUGUAAGUAACUAUGCACGUCUUGACGGUACCUAAGCAGAAAGCCACGGCUAACUACGU
This 496-nucleotide ribosomal RNA is filed under the name uncultured bacterium. RNAcentral's name for it is "partial 16S ribosomal RNA". It matches the Rfam family "Bacterial small subunit ribosomal RNA", at positions 28 to 506 of the family's 1533-position model. The record is from RNAcentral.